GGACUUCCAGAAGGGAGAAGUACCCUCCUCACCCCUCUUCUUCCCCACACCCGUCCUCGCUCGCCCGCCGGCCCCUUUCCGCACCUCCUUCUCCCCUCAAGUGAGAAAAGCCUAGUUCCCGAGCCGGUGUACGCGGUUGCCUUACCCCUCCCCGCUCCCACGCGGGUGCCCCCUCCAGCCAUCGCUACUGCCACCACCUCGGUUCCACUCAAUCGAUUUUUGCUGCAUGUCAACACUUAUUCCCGCUCCUUCUCUGCCUGAAACUACCACCUGUGGAUUUGCACACAUCGUCAAAGUCAUGUGUUCCAGGAGAGCACAGAUACAGUCCUGUGUAGAGUUUAUAUUAGAACUUGGUGGAAAGACAUCUUCCUCCACUGAAGAGCUGCCCCUUUUCCACCCUCCUCUGAGUGCUUUCCCUUUCUCAUUUCUUCCAACAUCUUUCUUGGGGUAAGUUUAAAUCUCACAUUUCUCUCCUUUUACUUUUUGAAUUUCAUUUCUGGACACUCAUUGUUCCCAUACCUGAAAACUAUUUUUUGUCAAUUACCAUGUAGCAUAUUUUAAUAUGAGUUAAGAUCCAAGAGGUUCACUUUCUUUUACACUUUUUGUGGGAGCUUGGCAUAAUACUUAGUAAAUAGUAGAUGUUCAAUAAACACCAAUUUAUCAAACGGUACA
This 672-nucleotide long non-coding RNA is filed under the name Sus scrofa (pig). Its description in RNAcentral is "lncRNA (ENSSSCG00040007202.1)". The record is from RNAcentral. Lineage: Eukaryota; Metazoa; Chordata; Mammalia; Artiodactyla; Suidae.